This is a small nuclear RNA of Vicugna pacos (alpaca), 107 nucleotides long. Lineage: Eukaryota; Metazoa; Chordata; Mammalia; Artiodactyla; Camelidae. The record is from Ensembl.
GUGCUUGCUUCAGUAGCACAUUAACAAAAAUUGGAACAAUACAAAGCUGAUUAGCAUGGCCCCUGCACAAAGAUGACACACAAAUUCUUGAAGCAUUCCAUAUUUUU